This 1049-nucleotide long non-coding RNA is filed under the name Heterocephalus glaber (naked mole-rat). Its description in RNAcentral is "lncRNA (ENSHGLG00000043719.1)". Lineage: Eukaryota; Metazoa; Chordata; Mammalia; Rodentia; Bathyergidae. The record is from RNAcentral.
CGCCCCCCCACCCCGGGAGGAACUCCGGGGACCCCGGAGCCCCGCGCCGCUUCCCUGCGAGGCCUCGCCGGAGCUCGCUCUCUCGGCCGUCCCGCGAGGACCCUGCCCGCUGCCCCCCCCCCCCCGUCCCGCGCGCCGUGGGGGGGGCGGGGCGGCGCGUGGGGGUGGGGCGCGGGCCGAGGCGAGACGUGGCGGACCGGGCCGCCGGAGCAGUGCCUGGGUUUCAGCCUUGUGGCUCAGUUGCCUUCGCAGACCGGAGCAGUGUGGAGGGGCUGAAAAGGACGAUGAGGACACCACCUGGGAGAGAUGGAGAUGCUUCUAUGGGCCACAAGUGGCUUUCAAGGAAGCCUUGAUGACGUAGGCAAGCAUACCAGUCACCACCCGUGAGCUUCUCUUUUUGCCUCUGGUUUCUUUCUUUUAAAUCUGUGACAUUUAAGAACUGAAGAAAAAAGCUAGAUUGUCUGAAUGGUCCCAUCUUUUUUUUUUCUUACUGUGAUUAAGCAUUGGUACAAAGAAGUUAAAGUUUGAUGUUUCCAUAAGAAUGUCUAGAGCUGCUUUUUGUUAAUAAACUUCAAACUAUUGGGAAGACUGGUGAUCGUGACUACAGGAGAGACUGUGAUAUUCCCCAGAGCUCUGACAGAUGAAGAAUCUUGAAAUGCGGGAGAUUUCAGAGAGCUAUCGGCCCCUGUGCUAGCCUCUUGAGCUGGCUUCUUUGACCCCAAGAAGUGUUCGCUCCUCUUUAAUGCAGAGCCCACAAUUUGGUGGAGUUAACCAGGCUAGUUUUAUAUUUAAAAGAGCAACUCAGAGACUUGGAUAGAAAGAUGAGAAUAGCCAUAGCACAGAGGGCAUGGUACAAAGCACAGAUGUCUAGUCCUUACGCUAAAUGACCAGGCCAUCCUAUGCUGCCAGCAUGUGCACUGGAAACUCCGCCAUGAUCACUUUGGUGCAGUCUGACCUCCACUCACAUCCACCCGGGGUUCCUCAUGCUUCCGGGGUCCGCUCGAGGGAUGUACUCUCUCUGCCAGCUGUUCCAGGCAGGCUGACGUAGG